This 226-nucleotide unclassified non-coding RNA is filed under the name Ascomycota sp. RNAcentral describes it as "partial contains small subunit ribosomal RNA, internal transcribed spacer 1, and 5.8S ribosomal RNA". The stretch from base 1 to 47 matches the Rfam family "Eukaryotic small subunit ribosomal RNA", at positions 1785 to 1831 of the family's 1831-position model. The record is from RNAcentral. Lineage: Eukaryota; Fungi; Ascomycota.
AAAGUCGUAACAAGGUCUCCGUUGGUGAACCAGCGGAGGGAUCAUUACAGAGUUGCAAAACUCCCCAAACCAUCGCGAACGCUACCCCUACCGUUGCUUCGGCGGGCGUCCCCCCUCGGGGGCGGCUCCCGCCGGCGGCACCCCAAAACUCUGUUUUUACUGUACCUCUCUGAGUUAUACUGUACCAAAUCAGUCAAAACUUUCAACAACGGAUCUCUUGGUUCUG